RNAcentral lists this long non-coding RNA (10575 nucleotides) under Daucus carota (carrot). Its description in RNAcentral is "long non-coding RNA (DCAR_LNC005303)". Lineage: Eukaryota; Viridiplantae; Streptophyta; Magnoliopsida; Apiales; Apiaceae. The record is from RNAcentral.
GUAAAGAUCACCGUACACAUAUGGCUGCAAUAACCCCACAUCAUGUAUUCAGUUUCAAACUAGACAUGUUCAUCAACACUCCUACUAUUAUAUGUUUAUUGACAUCACUCUCAAACCAGAAUUUAUUUUUUACAUAACUACACGACAACACCAACAUUGACACUCAUUCCAUACAAACAAAAAGUGGAAAAUUGAUCAAACACAUCAGAUAAAAAAAAAAGUACUACAAGCUCAUUUCCAUGCUUAAAACUACUAAUUAUAAAACAAUUGGAUUGAGAAGAUGGUGCAAGCACAUUAUCUUCAAUGUUAACUUCUUUCUUCUUAGAUUCCUCUAUUUGUAUAUUCAACUACUUAUUCACAACCACACACACAUAGUAAACACAUCAACUUCGAGCAAAAACGUGACACACACAUAUAAUUAUACAGCGAAAUAGUCACAAGAUGCUAGCAAAUUUGAUGAUUCAUAAAACUGCAAACGCACUAAACACGUCUACUUCAAGCUAAAAUCUCCCUCUCUCUCUCCCUCCCCCCCUCUCUCUCUCUCCCGCUGCCUCUCCCUCCCUCCCUCAGUUUACAACAACAAUUAUAAAAGCACAAUAUCAGUAAACACACAUUGAAAGUCCUCUCUCUCUCCCCCUCUCUCUCCCUCCCUCUAUCUCCCUCUCUCUCUCCCCCUUCUCUCUCACACACAGAGUAAAGUAAUAAUGACAAUCUAUUAGAUGAUUGACAUUUGACAAUUAGAAGAGCAAUAGAGAAUGAAGAGUGCGUGUACACAAGUGUACCAGUAUAGCAUCAUCGAUGUCGUCUCCGGGGAGAGUUUUUACGAUUUUCGACAAGAAUUUUUCAAAUGCGUUUUGGACUACGGUGCGUUUAAACGGGCCGGAUCGAAUUUAUUAAAUAUACAAAUUAUGGGAAAAAAACAUCAAUAAAAGAUUUAUCUGAUUUAUUAUUAGUAAUCAAGCAUCAACAUAAUAUCAAUCAUUAAUCAAUCAUCAAUAUACUUAUAUACUUAUAUAGGGUAGCACUCCAUAGCAUACCAUCUUAUAUGGAGUUACGUAGCACACCAUAAUAAAUAUAUACAUAAUAUAUAUUCUAUUAUAUUUUUUAUGGAAUAUAAUUGCAAAUUUUGAUCAUUAAACCGUAAACGAAGUUAUACAAUUUUUUUAUUCCAAAAAUCAUCUAAAAUUAUACAAUAUCUCAACAUGAUUCUAUAACAGAAAAUAAAUAUAUACAUAAUAUAUAUUCUAUUAUAUUUUUUAUGGAAUAUAAUUGCAAAUUUUGAUCAUUAAACCGUAAACGAAGUUAUACAAUUUUUUUAUUCCAAAAAUCAUCUAAAAUUAUACAAUAUCUCAACAUGAUUCUAUAACAGAAUAAUAAUCAUCCAAAAUUAUUCUGUUGUAGAAUCAGUUUCGAAAAUAUACUUUUUCAUCAAAUUUUAAGUGUUAAAUGACUUGAAAUAGAUAUAUGUUAUGGUAUUCUAUAUUAGAAUCACGUUCUAUAUGUAUUCAAUAAUAGAAUUUAUAAUAAAAUUGAUGAUUUAGAAUGGCGCACUAUGUAACUCCCUGGAAUGUUGGCCAGUAUACUUAUACAAAAGAGAAACGAAAGGCGUUUAGGUGGCGCCUAACUCUAUUCUAUUUUCCAGCAAUUUUAAAAUAUAAAUUUCAGUAUUAGAAGAAAAUUUAAAAAUUACCUUUUCCAGUCUCGAAAUUAUUGGAAGAAGAAAGUUCCAAAAUUACCUUUUUUAGUAUUGGACAUAAGAGUGCGUGCAGAAAGCAAUUAAGACAAACUUUUUUAGUUCGAAUUUAGCCAAUUUUCCUGUAGUGAACACCGCCCAUUAAGAAUAGGCGAUGAGAAAUUCUCUAGGUUUAAAAUCAUUGAUCGAUUAAACUUUUUUACAUGGAUCUAUUCUGACUACUUCAAAACUAACGAUUACCAAAGCGCGGACAAAUUUGGAAGGAAAAUACACAAUGCAAACUAGCUAAAAACAAAAGAAUUAGGGAAAAUAGAUUUUUUUGCCACUCAACUUAUUGUGUUUUUAGAAACUUGCCACCCAACUAAAUUUUUUUUCCUUUUACUCAUUAAUGUUAUGUUUGAAUUUUUUUAGCCACCAACUUAGGUUCGGAUUUGAUUACUAGCAUUAUGACAAUUUUUUGUAGCAUCACUUAUACAUAGUGAUAGUAUGUAAUAUUUUGAUGAUGUGUCGUAUGUUUAUAUCUUUAUAUAUAGCAAUGAUAAUAUGAAAUGAGCCGAUGAAAAAUUAAAAUCAGGAAAAAUCGUAAUUAGAAUUCUAAAAAUUCAAUAAAUCAUGAAUAUGAAACCAACGACUUCAAACAAUUCCCCCUCCAUGAUAAGAUAAAUUUAGUUAUAGAAAUCACCAGUUUCUAGUUUUUAGUCUGUGAGUUGUUUCUAUUAGAGCAACCCAUUUUAACCGGUUAUAUAUCUAUAUAUAUAUAUAUAUAUAUAUAUAUAUAUAUAUAUAUAUGUAUAUAUGCCAACAUUCCAGAGAGGGACUCCUUAUAUGGAGUUACAUAGUGCGCCACUAUAAAUCAUCAAUUUUAUUAUAAUUUCUGUUAUAAAAUACAUAUAAAACGUGAUUCUAAUAUAGAAUACUAUAAAAUAAAUCUAUUUUAAGUAAUUUAACACUUAAAAUUUGAUUAAAAAAAGUAUAUUUUUGAAACUGAUUCUACAACAGAAUAAUUCUGGAUGAUUAUUAUUCUGUUAUAGAAUCAUGUUGAGAUAUUGCAUAAUUUUAGAUGAUCUUUGGAAUAAAAAAAUUGUAUAACUUCGUUUUCGGUUUAAUAAUCAAAAUUUGCAAUUAUAUUUCAUAAAAAAUAUAAUAGAAUAUAUAUUAUGUAUAUAUUUAUAAUGGUGUGCUACGUAACUCCAUAUAAGAGGGUAUGCUAUGGAGUGCUACCCUAUAUAUAUAUAUAUAUGUAUAUGUAUGUAUGUUAUAUUAUAUAGAACCUUUGAUUUUGCUUAGCCGGUUAAAAUGGGUUACCUCAAUUAUAAGUACUAGCUUUAAACUCGUAUAAUGCAUGAAUAUUUAAUAUUUUUAUAAUUCUUAUUAUCUUAUAGUAUAUUUUAACCCAGAAAAUCACAUAUGAUAUCCCUUUUCCAUAUAGUAUUUUUUUUUAAAAUAAUAUUUAAUUAUUUUUAUUUGUCAAUCAUAAGAUUGGGCUUUUUAUAAUUAAUAUAUAACUUUGGUCUGUUUGUGUUUGAGCUAAUUUUCUGAUAGAUUAGGCUCUGGUGAUCUAUUUGUUGCGUUUGUUUCUCAAAUUUAAUUUCAUUAAUAAUUUAGUUCUUUUAUAACUUGUUUAUGUGAUUUGUCAGAAUAUUAAAUGAUUUGUUUUAACAUCAAAAAUUUCUUACGUUGAAGAGUAUUAGGCUUCUGGUUUUAGUACAACUUUAAACUAUAUAUAUACAAUUAUAUGAUUGCUAAGAGUCGAUCACGCAUCCUGACCGUGAUAUAACAUGGAUCGGUUCGGUGCGAUUUUUAGAUAAAAGCGCAUCCAGAACCGAAAACCUCGAUUUUUAAAAUCAAGAACCUCAACCACAACCAAAACCACGAUUCGGUUUCAUAAUCUCUAUUUGGUUACAGUUAAAAAACCGCAUUAACUAAAAAUGAGAAAUUUAUUAUAAAUCAAAUAAAUAAAACUUAAUUUACAAAAUAUAUAUUUAAACAUAACAGCAUCUCUUCAGUGUUUAAUAAUUAAGGUUUUAUGAUACUUGAUCAAAGCAAAUUUCAAUAACCUAACAACAUUACUUUCUAAGUUUCUAUCACUUAUAUUUUGCAAUGCACAUGUGGACUUCUAUGUUUUAAAGUUUAUUAUGUUAAACUAACUCACACAUAAUAGCUAUUAAUUUGGUACUUCGAAGUUUGAAUCGUGAGAAGGGAGGCUAUGGAUUAGACGGGCCUCCGGUCCAGAAUUGGCUAAUAUUCAUCACUCUUGAACCUAAAAAAUAUGUGUAUACAUUAAUUUCAAAAGCUUUAAUAUAAAUUAUAUUUAGAAUUAUUUGGUUUUUUUAAAAAAAUCGGUUCGAAUCGGUUUUCUUCGGUUCGAAUUUAGGCUAUAACCUAAAGCACAACCAUUAGACUCAAUUCGGUUUUUCAAUUUUCGAUUUCUUUUCAAUUUUAUAGGGUUCGAUUUUUAUGAGAUUUUACCAAUUUCAAUUGCAUUUUUUUGCUCACCACCGGCUACGAUAGCAUUCUUCCGUUAUCCCUCUUACGCUUAUGUACAUAAGGAUAUAGUUACCCACCUUUGAUUGUGGAAAUGAACCAUCAAUACUAUUUUAUGAUUUAUAUAGAACAAAAAUUAUGUCAUUGUAAUGUAUAAGAUUAUUUACUAUUUCAGAUAUAAAAUAUAAAUUUAAUUAUUGUAUAUUUUUUAAAUUAUUUAAUAAUUUGCUUAAAAUUAAAAUUGAUAGACGGUUAAUCAAAUUAUAAAAAAAACCCAUUUAGAACGAUCUCAUCAUGAUUAUAAGAUAGAAAUCAAAUCGAAUCAUAAUGAUAUAUACGAUUCAAUAACGAUAUUAGGUAGAAAUCAAGGUAAACCCACCAGCGCAUUCCGAUAUAUCAUACGGGCUUACGUUUCCAUUUAUAAAUAUUUUAAACAAACUUUUGGCCCACAUACAUAAAACAUACCCCUUAAAAUGAUAGUAUUUAGAGAUACAUUAUAGGAGCGUUUGAAACAACUCUUUCCUUAUAUCAAACCACGGGCCCAAUGUUACUCACUACCUAUAUCGAACCUCAUGCCCAAUGUUACUACCUAAAUCUGUCGGUAGGAUACAUUAGUGGAUUAGGAUCACAAUAAAUAGAUAUCUGUGUAGAUAUGAUAUUAUAUGAUAUCUUGUGGUUGUUGCAAAAUCCAAAUUUAAAUCUUGCAAUUUAAUGCUACUAUCUACACUUCUCUUUUCUUUUUUUUUAAACUGGCCUAAUUGCAAAAUUAUAUUUCACAAGUCUGUGCGCUUAACAAGCGACUGAGCAAAAGGGUUUUUUCUAGAGCUUAGGGUUUACAAUUCUCAAGUAGAGGGACAAUGGAGGGAAGUAGCUACCAGCCUUUUCAGAGAAUCUUGAGGUUUGGGACGAUAAAUUUUAGUGAUUAUAAAGAUCUUGAAGUGCCAAGUUUCCAAAAUGCCGAUGCUUUGAGUCAAGAGGUUCACAAUUUAGCUCCGAAAGAUUCGGUGAAUGGAAAUGAGAAUGUCAAGGUAGGUCCUGUGGUGUCGAAAGAUGCGAAGCAUAAGAAAGAGAGAUACCCUGUAAGGCCCAAGGUGGAUGAUUGCCUCUAUUUUAUGAAAUAUGGUUGGUGCAAGUUCGGAUUCAAUUGCAGAUAUAACCACCCAUUCAAUCAGUUAAUCCAGGUAUAACUACUUUAACUUGGUUGAUCUUUUAAGUGGUGUGUGUUAAUCUUUAUAUUAGAAUGAAUAAAUUUAAAGUUUAGAUGUGCAACUGAUUCUUUGUUUGAUUGAAUAAUGAAUAAAAUGGGGAUCAGGACUAUACUGAUUCUUAUAAAGUUUUAAAAAAAUGUUUCUCCAUAAAUUUAUUCUUUUUCUUGGUACAUUGGAACAUUCUUGUUGAUUUACUAAAUCCUAGGAUUGUGACUGGUCAUAAGUUUCUCUUAUCUUGAUAGAAAUUUGACAUCUUUAGUCCUGAUUCGUGAAUCGCAUUUUACCCUGUUGAUGAUUAUUCAGUGCGAUUAUUAGAUUGUGGAUCACUUUAUUCUAGCGUUGGUGGUUAAAUUAGAAUUAUUAUAAAAUAGGGAAUAUUGAUUGUAUCCUUUCCUCAGGUCCCGUGAAAAACCUUGUCACUACUUAUAUAUUGCUACAAGUGUAUUCACUUCACACGGAAAAUGAGGCUAUGCCUGUCCUUUAUGACGACAUAAGAGGCCACAAGGCUUAUUCACUUGACAUGUAGCAAGCUACUCUAUGUGAAUUAAACAAGAAUCUGCCAGAUCGAGAUCAUCCUAUUUCUCGUCUAUAGCCAUGAAAGCAUUACUGAGAGAAAUUCUGAAGAAUAAAACUAUCUUUUCUUCUUUUUUUUUUUGCCACAAGAAUAUAACUAUCUUAAAAAACAAGAAUAUUAUAAAAAUACCGUCUUAUACAACAUAACUAAGCUUUUAUCACACUCCCUCUAGUAAUGUCAAAGAAGUGCAAUAGGUAACAGUAAAUAAAGACUUUAAUUACUAACGGUCUUUGAUAUGUGCAUGCUGAAUAAAUCGAUUCAACACCCAAAUCACUAAAUAAUCAGAAUUAAAGGGUCAUCUUUCAUGUUUUAUAUUGAUGAUUUCUUUGUCUGGAGCUUUGGAUAAAAUACUAUCUUCUACAAUAUAACUAAGCAUUUAUAUUAACAAGUAGGUCUUUCUUUAGUAUAUCUAUCACAUUGUUUAUUGAUACAACAUAUGACUAGAAAUUCCUGAUAUUGAUAUUUUUACAUCUCGUAAAUGUUCACAUAUGGGAUAUAUGUAUAUCAAGCUGUUUGCUUUUUUGAGCUUUUUAUAUCUACACGAAUGACUCUUACUCUCUUAACAGACCAAGUUUCAUUCGGAUGAUACCUUAAUACCUUAAUUUGAGUUACUAUGAUAUUUCUCCUUUACUGAAGGUUCCUUUAGAAUACCAUGAUGCUCUUAUAUACACAGCAGCAGAAUGGGGCCAGCCUAUCGCUGCAGAGCUUCAGCUGCCAAUGAAAACUUUAUCAGCAGAUGCCAAGGCCUACCAGCAGAUGCCAAGGCCUAUCAGCAUAUGCCCUCUAAAUGAUAAAGGCCUGCCUUUAAGGCCUGUAAGUGUUUCCCUAAAUACUGUGCUGAAAUAUUAAUUAAUGUCUUUUAACAUUCCCAAAACUACUUAAGCAGAUUAUUUUCUACCAGGUUGUUAUAGGAUGACUGUUUUCUGGUAUGGUGUGUCUAUUAAGGUGACCCGCAUUCAUAUCUGUAUACAAAUAACUUCUUUUUAUUCUUGAUGAUUUAGGAUAUGGAGGUCUGUACAUUCUACAGUCGCUGCGGGGUCUGCAAGAAGGGACCAGCAUGUAGAUUUGACCAUCCAGAAACUCUGGCGGUUCCAGCUGAUGGAUCAGAAGAUUCUGCUGGAUCAGAAGAUUCUGCUGGAUCAGAAGAAGCUGGGGUUCCUGCUGCUGGAUCCCAAGAUGCUCAGGGUCUUCCGGCUCAGUUAUCCCAGCUUCCUGACCCGACCACCGAAGAUGAAGCCUAAUGAAGUCAGUCAUUUAUGCAGCAGACUGACUUUCUGCUUUAAAAUUCUAGUUUAUCUGAACACAUGUCUUAAUAUUUCCGUUUACAUUCUGCUGUUGUCGCAAACUCUUUAAGGGUUUUUUUCACCGUCGGAUAAACAUAUCCCUCCUGUCUCUCAUUUAAUAAUCGUGUAUGCUUGAUUUAGUUUCCAUUUGACGUAUUUUCAAUUUUAUUCUAGUUCUCAAAAAAGUUCCCCAUGUAUAGGUGUUCAGUUGUUAUUGGUCAUUCUCCUAUAAACAAAAGUGGACGCUAUAUGCAUGCACAUAUACUGAGAGAUGGGCCUAAAUGUCAACUUUUUAAGGUGUGUCCUGAAAAUCAAAUCUUAUUUUUACAGUGUUGAGAGGGGGAGAGAUAUUAAGGUGUGUCCUAAAAAUCAAAUUUUACUUCUACAGUGGAGAGAGAGAGAGAGAGAGAGAUCCAAAAUACAUAUGAUUUAAAACGUUAACAUCACCAAACUCAUACCUUCAUCAAGAGAGUCCACUUGAAUUACUUGCGCUUUAAUAAAAUGACUUCUCAAGUUUAGCCUGUAAUCAGCAAACUUGAUCUGAUGGACAACAAAGCCUCUACCAGUUGCUCGAUACUGCAGUUUGUGAGUUACAGUAAAUAUACAAUUUACUCCUAAGAAGUUAAAAUGAUGAAAUAUUCUCGACACAUAUAUGACAGCAACAAAUACGUACUUUUGCUCCUCCGUGCAGAAUGGUACAUCAAUAAUGGGUUCUAGUACCCAGGGAGAAUAUGUGAAAGAAUGAGCAAAGAUGAAGCUGCAUUGUAAUAUAGCUGAAAACAGCCUGCAAAAAACAAAAUAUUUAUAACUGACCCACAAACGUUUACACCAGAGAGCAUGAAUUCGUAAUAUCAAUCUAUAGUGUAAUGACAAACAAGUUGAACCGUGAAUUGUAUUCACAGGCUCAAACCCCUACAAGAAUGUGAUUAUUGGAUUGAAAUUAACAUCAGUACUUGCAUAUGUAACCUUGAGACACCAGAUAAUAUAAAUAUUUAGGAGGAAUAUUUCAGCUUGUCCACAAUUUUACCUGUUCAUAAACUAAAACAACUAGCAAGCAUAAUACAUUCAAAGCCUUCAGAUUGGCAAAUACAUUUAGAAGAGCAACUAAAGUAUUUAUAAAACAGGUUAUUGCUACAGAAAACAUGCUCCUUAGCUUAAACAGAAUAGCUUCACUUGCAACAAAAAAUAACCAACCUAUAAAUCACUGAAUUAGUAAUCAGCACAAAUCUUCACACAGAAUGCUAAUUUGAAUUGUAAGAAUAUAAAGCAAACUUACAUAAUGGACUAUGGUUAACUUCACACUAAUAAUUAUACUGAGAUGAGCACCUAAAGAGAAAUGAUAAAUCAGUUUUUUUUUCAUGACAACGAAUCUUAUUUUUCGAGGCACCAGAAUAAGUAUGAUUAAAAUGAAAGUAUAUACCAAAUAUAAAUUCACAAAAUUAAUUCAUAAAAAAUAGAUACCGAGCAUUCACGAAAUUAAUACAUAAAAAAAUGGAUACAGAAUGAGCACCACUAACUUUAGAGGAUAGGCUAGAACACGUCCCAAUGUCACAAAACUAGUCUCUCGGUUGGACAUAAACCAGGCCAAAGAGUACACACUGCAUUCAGAUAUAAUACACAUACAUACCAACACAGUAAAGAUUAGAGACAUGUCAUUACAAGGAGGCAAGAGGAAAAUUAUACAAGGAUGCCAGACCCUGUCAAAACAUGCUCUCUCACACCAAGAAUGGUUGGAGGGCGAAUGCCAUGAUUUCCUCAAAAGUUCAUCAAGAAGAUUCUUAAUUUCAUAGCCUCUUCAAGGUAAUUGUCCUGUCCAUUGCUUUUCACAAAAAAAAAAAGGCGAUAUAUGAGAAAGACCAUAAAAACAUAUUAAAAAAUUAAAUCAAUUUCAAAUAUAAGUAAUGCACAUAAAACAUAUCCACGAGUAUAGGUUCCAUAGUUCUCACAGAAAAACCAUGUAGACUAAAUUUCCAAAAUAUGUGCCUGCAAUGAAUAUUUAUGUCAACAAAAAAAGAUAAAAACCUACCAUCCAGUGGCCUGACCGAGGACUAGGACAUCCUUUAAAAUUUAGUUGUUCCCAUUUAUUGGUUUUCAAGUCCAACAUCCAGAAGUCCUUCCAAAGAAAAUUUCUUAACUUAAAGCUAAAAUAUAAGUGCAAAAAGAAAGUCACUUCUGUAGUAGGUGGUACACUUUCUACCUUGAAGUGGUUGAAACGCUCUUGAUUGGGAGAGGUAAAUUUACCACCUAUGAACCAACAAACCAGAGUUCUAUAUCAGUCAACAGGAAAGUGCAAAAACCGGCAAGCCAUGAGUCAUAAAUUGUAUAUGUCAAUUAGCCACAGGCAGAUAAAUACAAUGGUAUAGAUGCAUAGCAAAUACAUUAGUAAGCAUGGGGAUACGAAAAUUCAGCAACUCCUAAAAUAUGGAUAUUCGGCAAAUAUUAAAAAUAUGUACUAUGUAUAUAUUUCGAGAGUUACAUUUAUAUUUAAACUAAAGAGUCAAAUAAAUAAGUUCAUCAUCCUUGAUAAUUACAACUGCAGUUAAGUGAUUAACUACUCAACUAAUUACAGAAUUAUUUAUUUAAUAAGAAUCCCCGGGAACCCUAGAAUCCCCAAGAAUCGAGUACGCAAUGCCUGGAUGAGUGAAGAAUCACUGCUUCUUAUCAAAUGUAUAUGACUGUAAAUAGUUGUUUUACCAUAAAUGGAAAGACAUUCUUCCGGGAAACAGCGUGAUAAGCACCGCGAUGUGGUGGACUGUCACGGCUGGAUAUUAAUUUCCACUCAUUCUUGUCAACAUCGUAUCGGUAAAAAUCACCGUACAACACAUAUGGCUGCAAUAACCCCACAUCAUGUAAUCAGUUUCAAUCUAGACAUGUUCAUCAACACUCCUACUAUUAUAUGUAUAUUGACAUCACUCUCAAACCAGAAUUCAUUUUUUGCAUAACUACACGACAACACCAACAUUGACACUCAUUCCAUACAAACAAAAAGUGGAAAAUUGAUCAAACACGUCAGAUAAAAGAAAGUACAAGCUCAAUUCCAAGCUUAAAUCUACUAAUUAUAAAACAAUUGGAUUGAGAAGAUGGUGCAAGCACAUUAUCUUCAACGUUAACUUCUUUCUUCUUAGAUUCCUCUAUUUGUAUAUUCAACUACUUAUUCACAACCACAAACACACAGUAACCACAUCAACUUCAAGCAAAAACGUGACACACACAUAUAAUUUACACAUCGAAAUAGUCACCAGAUGCUAGCAAAUUUGAUGAUUCAUAAAAUUGCACACACAGUAAACACGUCUACUUCAAGCUAAAAUCUCCCUCUCUCUCCCUCUCUCUCUC